Molecule: non-coding RNA, 102 nt
Organism: Acanthosepion pharaonis
Lineage: Eukaryota; Metazoa; Mollusca; Cephalopoda; Sepiida; Sepiidae
Source: the annotation of a GenBank genome assembly
CUACGGUGAAACACUGCUUCUCGUACGGUCACCGAAGUUAAGCAACGUCGGGCCUGGUCAGUAGCUUGAUGGGUGGCAGCUUAGAAAUACCAAGUGCUAUAA